This 896-nucleotide ribosomal RNA is filed under the name uncultured Flavobacterium sp. RNAcentral describes it as "bacterial SSU rRNA". It matches the Rfam family "Bacterial small subunit ribosomal RNA", at positions 31 to 932 of the family's 1533-position model. Lineage: Bacteria; Pseudomonadati; Bacteroidota; Flavobacteriia; Flavobacteriales; Flavobacteriaceae. The record is from RNAcentral.
GGUAGCUAGCGGCAGACUAACACAUGCAAGUCGAGGGGUAGAGGAAGCUUGCUUCCUUGAGACCGGCGCACGGGUGCGUAACGCGUAUGCAAUCUACCUUGUACAGGGGGAUAGCCCAGAGAAAUUUGGAUUAAUACCCCAUAGUAUAUAACCUUCGCAUGUUGGUUAUAUUAAAGUUCCAACGGUACAAGAUGAGCAUGCGUCCCAUUAGUUAGUUGGUAAGGUAACGGCUUACCAAGACGAUGAUGGGUAGGGGUCCUGAGAGGGAGAUCCCCCACACUGGUACUGAGACACGGACCAGACUCCUACGGGAGGCAGCAGUGAGGAAUAUUGGGCAAUGGAGGCAACUCUGACCCAGCCAUGCCGCGUGCAGGAAGACGGUCCUAUGGAUUGUAAACUGCUUUUAUACAGGAAGAAACACCGCUACGUGUAGCGGCUUGACGGUACUGUAGGAAUAAGGAUCGGCUAACUCCGUGCCAGCAGCCGCGGUAAUACGGAGGAUCCAAGCGUUAUCCGGAAUCAUUGGGUUUAAAGGGUCCGUAGGCGGCCUUAUAAGUCAGUGGUGAAAUCUCCUAGCUCAACUAGGAAACUGCCAUUGAUACUGUAGGGCUUGAAUUAUUGUGAAGUAACUAGAAUAUGUAGUGUAGCGGUGAAAUGCUUAGAUAUUACAUGGAAUACCAAUUGCGAAGGCAGGUUACUAACAAUUGAUUGACGCUGAUGGACGAAAGCGUGGGGAGCGAACAGGAUUAGAUACCCUGGUAGUCCACGCCGUAAACGAUGGAUACUAGCUGUUCGGACGCAAGUUUGAGUGGUUAAGCGAAAGUGAUAAGUAUCCCACCUGGGGAGUACGCACGCAAGUGUGAAACUCAAAUGAAUUGACGGAAGGGCGAAUUCUG